Molecule: small RNA, 98 nt
Filed under: Panthera pardus (leopard)
Lineage: Eukaryota; Metazoa; Chordata; Mammalia; Carnivora; Felidae
Description: 7SK RNA (ENSPPRG00000021025.1)
Rfam family: 7SK RNA
About the family: 7SK was discovered as an abundant small nuclear RNA in the mid-70s but a possible function has only recently been suggested.
Source: RNAcentral
AUGUGAAGGUGAUCUGGCUGCGACAUCUGUCACCCCACUGACAGCCAGGGUUGAUUUGGCUGAUCUGGCUGGCUAGGCGGGNCCCCCCCGCCCCAGUU